UUGUUGUCAGUGUGCCGCCAAGCUUUACCAGCUCUCCCUAUUUCAAUAGCACUGGGUGUUGUCUUUUACUUCUUGACUCGUUUAUUGAUGGAACCUUUUAUUGUUGGGAUGGCAACAAAUCUGAUGAUGUUUUGAUCCUCUGUUAGUUGUAAGAGAGAGGAGGACAUUUUUAUGCUGUUAAAAGAAAUACUGAUGUCCUCAGAUGCAACGUUAUGGUUAGUAUUACUUACCAAAUAUCCUCUCACGUGCUCAUACAAGUUUCUCACGGUCAAAUUCUGUAAUUCGCUAAUGUAACAAUGUGAAGAUAAUCCUAGUGCAACUUGACUGCCCUCUUGGGUUUA
Molecule: unclassified non-coding RNA, 341 nt
Filed under: Hevea brasiliensis (rubber tree)
Lineage: Eukaryota; Viridiplantae; Streptophyta; Magnoliopsida; Malpighiales; Euphorbiaceae
Source: RNAcentral